RNAcentral lists this ribosomal RNA (253 nucleotides) under uncultured bacterium. RNAcentral describes it as "partial 16S ribosomal RNA". It matches the Rfam family "Bacterial small subunit ribosomal RNA", at positions 524 to 776 of the family's 1533-position model. The record is from RNAcentral.
UACGAAGGGGGCUAGCGUUGCUCGGAAUCACUGGGCGUAAAGGGUGCGUAGGCGGGUCUUUAAGUCAGGGGUGAAAUCCUGGAGCUCAACUCCAGAACUGCCUUUGAUACUGAAGAUCUUGAGUGCGGGAGAGGUGAGUGGAACUGCGAGUGUAGAGGUGGAAUUCGUAGAUAUUCGCAAGAACACCAGUGGCGAAGGCGGCUCACUGGCCCGGUACUGACGCUGAGGUGCGAAAGCGUGGGGAGCAAACAGG